Molecule: ribosomal RNA, 255 nt
Filed under: uncultured bacterium
Lineage: Bacteria
Description: partial 16S ribosomal RNA
Rfam family: Bacterial small subunit ribosomal RNA
Source: RNAcentral
UACGGAGGGUGCAAGCGUUAAUCGGAAUUACUGGGCGUAAAGCGCACGCAGGUGGCUGAGUCAGUCGAUUGUGAAAGCCCUGGGCUUAACCUGGGGAAUUGCAGUCGAUACUACUCAGCUAGAGUAUGGGAGAGGGCAGUGGAAUUCCCGGUGUAGCGGUGAAAUGCGUAGAUAUCAGGAGGAACACCGGUGGCGAAGGCGGGUCUCUGGGCCGAAACUGGACGCUGAGGAGCGAAAGCGUGGGGAGCGAACAGG